AUGGACGAGGAGAGGACGGAGGCGUGGUGGAGCCGACGCGCGUGGGCGCUGCUGUCGGCCGUCCGCGAGCGGGCGCCGCUGGUGCAGUGCACCACCAACCUCGUCUCCAUGGACAUCGCUGCCAACGUGCUCACCGCCGCCGGCGCCUCCCCCGCCAUGCUCCACUGCCUCCGCGAGAUCCCCGACUUCACCCCGCGCUGCGACGUUGUCUACAUCAACGUCGGUACCCUCUCCGAGGACUGGCUCCCCUCCAUGCGCGCCGCCGCCUCCGCCGGCCGCCCCUGGGUGCUCGACCCCGUCGCAGCUGCCGCCUCCGGAUUCCGGAUGGAGGCCUGCCUCGAGCUCCUCGCUCUCCGGCCCGCCGUCGUCAGGGGCAACGCGUCGGAGAUCCUCGCCCUCGCCGCCUCCUCGCUCUCCGACAGCUCCUCCUCCUUCAAGGGUGUGGACAGUUCACAUGACUCAGGGGAGGCCCUGCAAGCCGCGAAAGCAUUGGCACGGUCCAGCGGGUCAGUCAUUGCGGUAUCUGGAGCAGUUGAUUUCAUCACGGAUGGUCAGCAGGUCAUCAGUGCUAGCAAUGGUGUGGCAAUGAUGCAGAAGAUCACGGCGACAGGGUGUGCUGUGACUGCUCUUAUAGCGGCUUUUGUCGGGGCGGAUCCUUCAGAUGCUCUGGCCGCAGCGGCAUGUGCGCUCGCCAUCUUUGGACUCGCUGGAGAGAUUGGAAUGGAGUCGGCUAAAGGACCUGCCUCUCUCAGGACGCACCUCAUCGAUGCUCUCUACGGCCUCGAUGAGCAGACCGUCACAUCCCGUGACACAUCUCUACCGUGGUUACCAGUGUUUAGGAAAUAUACAGUCUGGGGUGAUCUGCAGGGUCCUGGAAAACCAUGA
This 885-nucleotide ribosomal RNA is filed under the name Triticum aestivum (bread wheat). Its description in RNAcentral is "partial small subunit ribosomal RNA". Lineage: Eukaryota; Viridiplantae; Streptophyta; Magnoliopsida; Poales; Poaceae. The record is from RNAcentral.